UAGUCAUAUGCUUGUCUCAAAGAUUAAGCCAUGCAUGUCUAAGUACAUGCCGUAUUAAGGCGAAACCGCGAAUGGCUCAUUAAAUCAGUUAUGGUUCCUUGGAUCGUACAUUCCUACUUGGAUAACUGUGGUAAUUCUAGAGCUAAUACAUGCAGCAGAGCUCCGACCUUCGGGGACGAGCGCUUUUAUUAGACCAAAACCAAUCGGACUCCGUCCGUCUCUCGUGGUGACUCUGAAUAACUUUGGGCUGAUCGCACGGGCCCGUCCCGGCGACGUAUCUUUCAAGUGUCUGCCUUAUCAACUUUCGAUGGUAGGUUAUGCGCCUACCAUGGUCGUAACGGGUAACGGGGAAUCAGGGUUCGAUUCCGGAGAGGGAGCCUGAGAAAUGGCUACCACAUCCAAGGAAGGCAGCAGGCGCGCAAAUUACCCACUCCCAGAACGGGGAGGUAGUGACGAAAAAUAACAAUACGGGACUCUUUUGAGACCCCGUAAUUGGAAUGAGUACACUCUAAAUCCUUUAACGAGGAUCCAUUGGAGGGCAAGUCUGGUGCCAGCCGCCGCGGUAACUCCAGCUCCAAUAGCGUAUAUUAAAGUUGUUGCGGUUAAAAAGCUCGUAGUUGGAUCUCAGUUCCAGACGGGUGGUCCGCCUACCGGUGGUUACUGCCUGUUCUGAACAGCCAGCCGGUUUCUCUUGAUGAUCUUCACCGGUUGUCUUGGGUGACCGGCAAGUUUACUUUGAAAAAAUUAGAGUGCUCAAAGCAGGCGCGACGCCUGAAUAAUGGUGCAUGGAAUAAUGGAAUAGGACCUCGGUUCUAUUUUGUUGGUUUUCGGAACACGAGGUAAUGAUUAAGAGGGACAGACGGGGGGCAUUCGUAUUGCGACGCUAGAGGUGAAAUUCUUGGACCGUCGCAGGACGAAC
RNAcentral lists this ribosomal RNA (919 nucleotides) under Epidelaxia sp. Sal_966. RNAcentral describes it as "SSU rRNA". It matches the Rfam family "Eukaryotic small subunit ribosomal RNA", at positions 21 to 940 of the family's 1831-position model. The record is from RNAcentral. Lineage: Eukaryota; Metazoa; Arthropoda; Arachnida; Araneae; Salticidae.